RNAcentral lists this ribosomal RNA (497 nucleotides) under uncultured bacterium. RNAcentral describes it as "partial 16S ribosomal RNA". It matches the Rfam family "Bacterial small subunit ribosomal RNA", at positions 28 to 507 of the family's 1533-position model. The record is from RNAcentral.
GAUGAACGCUGGCGGCGUGCCUAAUACAUGCAAGUCGAGCGAACAGACGAGGAGCUUGCUCCUCUGACGUUAGCGGCGGACGGGUGAGUAACACGUGGAUAACCUACCUAUAAGACUGGGAUAACUUCGGGAAACCGGAGCUAAUACCGGAUAAUAUAUUGAACCGUAUGGUUCAAUAGUGAAAGACGGUUUUGCUGUCACUUAUCGAUGGAUCCGCGCCGCAUUAGCUAGUUGGUAAGGUAACGGCUUACCAAGGCAACGAUGCGUAGCCGACCUGAGAGGAGGAUAGGCGACACUGGAGGUGGGACACGGACCAGGGGACUACGGGAGGCAGCAGUAGGGAAUCUUCCGCAGUGGGCGGAAGCCUGACGGAGCAACGCCGCGUGAGUGAUGAAGGUCUUCGGAUCGUGAAACUCUGUUAUUAGGGAAGAACAAAUGUGUAAGUAACUAUACACGUCUUGACGGUACCUAAUCAGAAAGCCACGGCUAACUACGUG